RNAcentral lists this ribosomal RNA (468 nucleotides) under uncultured bacterium. Its description in RNAcentral is "partial 16S ribosomal RNA". It matches the Rfam family "Bacterial small subunit ribosomal RNA", at positions 28 to 507 of the family's 1533-position model. The record is from RNAcentral.
GACGAACGCUGGCGGCGUGCUUAACACAUGCAAGUCGAACGGAAAGGCCCUGCUUUUGUGGGGUGCUCGAGUGGCGAACGGGUGAGUAACACGUGAGUAACCUGCCCUUUACUUUGGGAUAACUUCAUGAAACUGGGGCUAAUACCGGAUAGGAGCUCCUGCUGCAUGGUGGGGGUUGGAAAGUUUCGGCGGUUGGGGAUGGACUCGCGGCUUAUCAGCUUGUUGGUGGGGUAGUGGCUUACCAAGGCUUUGACGGGUAGCCGGCCUGAGAGGGUGACCGGCCACAUUGGGACUGAGAUACGGCCCAGACUCAUACGGGAGGCAGCAGUGGGGAAUAUUGCAAAAUGGGCGGAAGCAUGAUGCAGGAACGCCGCGUGCGGGAUGACGGCCUUAGGGUUGUAAACCGCUUUCGCCUGUGAAGAAGAGUGAGUGACGGUAAUGGGUAAAGAAGCACCGGCUAACUACGUG